RNAcentral lists this ribosomal RNA (497 nucleotides) under uncultured bacterium. RNAcentral describes it as "partial 16S ribosomal RNA". It matches the Rfam family "Bacterial small subunit ribosomal RNA", at positions 28 to 507 of the family's 1533-position model. The record is from RNAcentral.
GAUGAACGCUGGCGGCGUGCCUAAUACAUGCGAGUCGAGCGAACAGACGAUGAGAUUGCGCCUUUGACGUUAGCGGGUGACGGGCGGGUAACACGUGGAUAACCUACCUAUAAUACUGGGAUAACAUCGGAAGACCGGAGAUAAUACCAGAUAAUAUAUUGAACAGCAGGGAUCAGUAGUUAAACACGGUUUUGCUGUCACUAAUAGAUGGAUCCGCGCCGGAUUAGCUAGUUGGUAAGGUAACAGCUUGCCAAGGCAACGAUGCGUAGCCGAACUGAUAGGGUGAUCGGCCACACUGGAACUGAGACACGGUCCAGACUCCUACGGGAGGCAGCAGUAGGGAAUCUUCCGCAAUGGGCGAAAGCUUGACGCAGCAAUGCCGCGUGAGUGAUGAAGGUCUUCGGAUCGUAAAACCCUGUUAUUAGGGAAGAACAACUGUGUAAUUAACUACGGCCGUCUUGACGGUACCUAAUCAAAAAGCCCCGGCUAACUACGUG